RNAcentral lists this ribosomal RNA (490 nucleotides) under uncultured bacterium. RNAcentral's name for it is "partial 16S ribosomal RNA". It matches the Rfam family "Bacterial small subunit ribosomal RNA", at positions 30 to 507 of the family's 1533-position model. The record is from RNAcentral.
AUUGAACGCUGGCGGCAGGCCUAACACAUGCAAGUCGAACGGUAACAGAAAGCAGCUUGCUGCUUUGCUGACGAGUGGCGGACGGGUGAGUAAUGUCUGGGAAACUGCCUGAUGGAGGGGGAUAACUACUGGAAACGGUAGCUAAUACCGCAUAACGUCGCAAGACCAAAGAGGGGGACCUUCGGGCCUCUUGCCAUCGGAUGUGCCCAGAUGGGAUUAGCUUGUUGGUGGGGUAACGGCUCACCAAGGCGACGAUCCCUAGCUGGUCUGAGAGGAUGACCAGCCACACUGGAACUGAGACACGGUCCAGACUCCUACGGGAGGCAGCAGUGGGGAAUAUUGCACAAUGGGCGCAAGCCUGAUGCAGCCAUGCCGCGUGUAUGAAGAAGGCCUUCGGGUUGUAAAGUACUUUCAGCGGGGAGGAAGGGAGUAAAGUUAAUACCUUUGCUCAUUGGCGUUACCCGCAGAAGAAGCACCGGCUAACUCCGUG